CAGGGAUGCAAUAUUGGUUCAAUAUAUAGAAAUAAAUAAAUGUAAUUCAUCAUGUCAACACUCUUAAAUAAGAUAAUCAUAUGAUUAUCUCAAUAGAUGCAGGAGAAGUAUUUGACAAAAUUCAGCAUCCAUUCAUUCAUGUUCAAAACACUAGAAAAACUAGUGGGUAGUAGGAACAUACCUCAACAUUGUAAAAGCUACAUAUUGUAAAUUCAAGGCCAGCAUCAUUCUAAAUGGAGAAUAAUUGAAAGCAUUCCCUGUAAAAACUGGAACAAGGCAAGGAUGUCCUCUUUCACCACUUCUAUUCAAUAUCAUUCUUGAAACUCUAGCCAGAGCAAUUAGACAGAAGAAAGAAAUCAAAAGAAUACAAAUAGGUAAAGAAAAUUCAAACUAUCACUAUUUGCUGAUGACAUGAUUCUAUACCUAGAAGAUCCAAAAAAUUCUACCAGAAAACUUCUAGAACUAAUGAAUGAAUUCAUCAAGUAGCAGGGUAUAAAAACUACACCCAUAAAUUGUAGGGCAUGACUUGCUGCCCGCUUCCCGGUCUUGGGGCUGCACAUGUGGCUGGGAUGGCGCCUGGCAAUCAGCCCGGAGGCGGUACUGUGGGUGGUGAUGGAAAAAAACAGACCACCUCCAGGAGAGGUACAGGACUCUUCCGCCCUCGUGGACAGCUUCUGCCUUCCCUUACAGACCAUGGGAUGGGUGUACACAUGAAAACUUGCUUCACCCCUCUGACCUUUAUCCUGAUUGGCUCCUGCACAUUAUA
This 766-nucleotide long non-coding RNA is filed under the name Marmota monax (woodchuck). Lineage: Eukaryota; Metazoa; Chordata; Mammalia; Rodentia; Sciuridae. The record is from RNAcentral.